CCUACGGGGGGCAGCAGUGAGGAAUAUUGGUCAAUGGGCGGGAGCCUGAACCAGCCAAGCCGCGUGAGGGAAGAAGGUACAGCGUAUCGUAAACCUCUUUUGUCAGGGAACAAAGGCGGGGACUAGUCCCCGGAUGAGGGUACCUGAAGAAAAAGCAUCGGCUAACUCCGUGCCAGCAGCCGCGGUAAUACGGAGGAUGCGAGCGUUAUCCGGAUUUAUUGGGUUUAAAGGGUGCGCAGGCGGCCUGUUAAGUCAGCGGGAAAAGCCCGGGGCUCAACCCCGGCGAGCCGUUGAAACUGGCGGGCUGGAGUUGGAGAGAAGUACGCGGAAUGCGCGGUGUAGCGGUGAAAUGCUUAGAGAUCGCGCAGAACCCCGAUUGCGAAGGCAGCGUACCGGCUCCACACUGACGCUGAGGCACGAAAGCGUGGGUAUCGAACAGGAUUAGAUACCCCAGUAGUC
This 459-nucleotide ribosomal RNA is filed under the name uncultured bacterium. Its description in RNAcentral is "partial 16S ribosomal RNA". It matches the Rfam family "Bacterial small subunit ribosomal RNA", at positions 338 to 795 of the family's 1533-position model. The record is from RNAcentral.